UACGUAGGUGGCGAGCGUUGUCCGGAUUUAUUGGGCGUAAAGGGAACGUAGGCGGUCUUUUAAGUCUGAUGUGAAAGCCUUCGGCUUAACCGAAGUAGUGCAUUGGAAACUGGAAGACUUGAGUGCAGAAGAGGAGAGUGGAACUCCAUGUGUAGCGGUGAAAUGCGUAGAUAUAUGGAAGAACACCAGUGGCGAAAGCGGCUCUCUGGUCUGUAACUGACGCUGAGGUUCGAAAGCGUGGGUAGCAAACAGG
RNAcentral lists this ribosomal RNA (253 nucleotides) under Ligilactobacillus ruminis. RNAcentral's name for it is "partial 16S ribosomal RNA". It matches the Rfam family "Bacterial small subunit ribosomal RNA", at positions 524 to 776 of the family's 1533-position model. Lineage: Bacteria; Bacillati; Bacillota; Bacilli; Lactobacillales; Lactobacillaceae. The record is from RNAcentral.